UGGGGAAUAUUGGACAAUGGGCGCAAGCCUGAUCCAGCCAUGCCGCGUGCAGGAAGAAGGCCUUCUGGGUUGUAAACUGCUUUUAUCUGGGAAUAAAAAACCCGUGCGCGGGGAACUGAAGGUACCAGAUGAAUAAGCCACGGCUAACUCCGUGCCAGCAGCCGCGGUAAUACGGAGGGUGCGAGCGUUACCCGGAUUUACUGGGUGUAAAGGGCGUGGAGGCGGUGUCUCAAGUCCGAUGCUAAAGAC
This 249-nucleotide ribosomal RNA is filed under the name uncultured organism. RNAcentral describes it as "partial 16S ribosomal RNA". It matches the Rfam family "Bacterial small subunit ribosomal RNA", at positions 355 to 602 of the family's 1533-position model. The record is from RNAcentral.